This 64-nucleotide transfer RNA is filed under the name Pachydesmus crassicutis laticollis. Its description in RNAcentral is "tRNA-Val". Lineage: Eukaryota; Metazoa; Arthropoda; Diplopoda; Polydesmida; Xystodesmidae. The record is from RNAcentral.
CAUAUUAGAGUUUUUAUGAAUUUUUCUUUUACAUUGAAAAGGUCUCUUUUGGGUAAUAUGAUAA